CACCGCCCGUCACAUCAUGAAAGCCGGUUGUACCCGAAGUCGCUGUGCCGACCGCAAGGGGCAGGCGCCGAAGGUAUGGCUGGUGAUUGGGAUG
RNAcentral lists this ribosomal RNA (94 nucleotides) under uncultured bacterium. RNAcentral describes it as "partial 16S ribosomal RNA". It matches the Rfam family "Bacterial small subunit ribosomal RNA", at positions 1388 to 1482 of the family's 1533-position model. The record is from RNAcentral.